This 226-nucleotide non-coding RNA is filed under the name Staphylococcus aureus subsp. aureus IS-88. The record is from RNAcentral. Lineage: Bacteria; Bacillati; Bacillota; Bacilli; Caryophanales; Staphylococcaceae.
UCCUUUUAUUAGGUUGUCCUAGAUUGAUUUCAUAUUCUGGUUAAAAGAUGAUUAUUUAUCCUCGCUCGGUUCAAGAUGUAGACUAUCAGUAAAGUAAAUAUUUUCAUUUUUAUUCUCUAAAAAAGUAAAUUCAAUUUUUUUAUAUCCAACUGAUGAACCUUUUAAAUUCCCUGUACCUUUCAACAACAGCUUCGGCGCUUUAUUUGUUGGUAUGUCAUAUCUUUUA